Molecule: ribosomal RNA, 402 nt
Filed under: Verrucomicrobiota bacterium
Lineage: Bacteria; Pseudomonadati; Verrucomicrobiota
Description: Verrucomicrobia bacterium partial 16S ribosomal RNA
Rfam family: Bacterial small subunit ribosomal RNA
Source: RNAcentral
UGGGGAAUUUUGCACAAUGGGGGAAACCCUGAUGCAGCGACGCCGCGUGAUUUAGAAGGCCUUCGGGUUGUAAAAAUCUUUUGUAUGGGAAGAAAAUGACAGUACCAUACGAAUAAGGACCGGCUAAUUACGUGCCAGCAGCCGCGGUAAUACGUAAGGUCCGAGCGUUGUCCGGAAUCAUUGGGCGUAAAGGGUACGUAGGCGGAUAAGCAAGUUAGAAGUGAAAUCCUAUAGCUCAACUAUAGUAAGCUUUUAAAACUGCUCAUCUUGAUGUAUGGAAGGGAAAGUGGAAUUCCUAGUGUAGCGGUGAAAUGCGCAGAUAUUAGGAGGAAUACCGGUGGCGAAAGCGACUUUCUGGCCAUAAACUGACGCUGAGGUACGAAAGCGUGGGUAGCAAACAGG